Anas platyrhynchos (mallard) is the source of this 1473-nucleotide long non-coding RNA. RefSeq lists it as uncharacterized. NCBI's taxonomy places the organism in Eukaryota, Metazoa, Chordata, Aves, Anseriformes, Anatidae. The record is from RefSeq and is a predicted model, not a curated record.
UGCUGUUUCACAGAAAUACUUUUGUGGUAAUGCUUUCAUGGCUGAGCAGUGAGACUUUCAGAAAAAAGAGCAGAGAUUUGUUUUUAAUCAGUGCCCAUAAUCCUUAAAAACAAAGAAAUUGCUGAUUAACUCAAUAUGAUAAGAAACAGCUUGUAUCUACAGCAAAUUGCCUAGAGUUAAAAGUCGCUUUUCUUCCGAUUUACCUUCUGGAGUCAGAUGGUCAAGUGUUCAUUCUUAUUUUGCCUCCUUCAAGCUCAGGCUAAGGACACAAAUCUCCAGAUUGCAACUGUGAAGUGAAGGCUUUCCUUCAUAUUCUUCACUUUAAAGGCAAAAACAGUAUAAUUGAGGCACACUGACCCCACCUCCUCCCAAGUCUGACUUAAGCUCAGUGGUUAAACAUAAAACCCCACAUCAAGAGUCACCAGAAGCACUCUUGCCUGUGCGAAGAAGCUGCUGUGACCCUCAGGGAUGGCUUCCUUCUGCUGGCUUCUGGUGGCUCCCUUGAUUGUGGCAGCCCUGAUGGCCAAGUCCCAUGCAGUGGCAGCAGAGGCUCAAGGUAAGCUUCUGUAAGUUUCUGAAAGGUGGCACCUGCAAGGAGGGGCAGGCUGGGGGGCCACUGCUGUGAGGAAGGGGUCUUGCUGCUAACCAUGGCCCAGGGUUGGGGGUAAUAAGAUGGAGGUGAGAUCUCAGGGCAGCUGGGGAAGUUUGACCAGGUUUUGCGUCAUGGCAGAUACUAAAGGCUGCUAGGUGAGAGGAAGAUUAAAGCCACUGGUGAGGAGAGAGGGACAGAAGGGGUUGGAAUUUCCUGAACAAAAUGCAGACAGGCAGAAAUCCUACAAAACUGUCCAUAUUGUUAUUUCAUCAGUCAACAGGUGUUUCGCCUAUGGCACUUUCCAGUACAUGUUUAAAGUUGAUAGACGCAAAAGAACCCCGUCAGAUUGAGGAGCCUUUUGCUUCAAAGAAUAAUGUCUGCAUAUCCCUUUCUUUCACUGGUGGUCACUUGGAGUCAGAUUCAUUUCCUGCCUCUGAAGGCUUCUAUCUAAAGUUCUUGGAGUAACACUAGAAAGACUGGAAAAAAAAAGAAAGGUUAUAUGCCUUCAUAGAAGCAUGCAAUAACUAUGACUGAAUUAAAAUCAAGCCUGUUGUAAGCCUGGAUUGCACCCACCUUAUCAGACACAAUCAUAAUUCUGCUUGUUGGAGGACUGUUGUGUUGUGUUCUCUCUAUGUUUUAAAAAUAAAAUGUUGAAUUAAUAAGCUUCUUCCUCCCUUUUGAUUUCCAAAAGGUGGGAAAAGACAAUACUCAUCUUGAUAAGAACUUCCUACAAUGCUAAAAUAACGUGUGUGCUGUAAUAGCUUUCCUGUAUUUUUUAUACUUUAUUAUUUCUAACAAAACUGGCUGCUUAUCCAAAAUGAUAUGAUAACUUAGACUACGAUCUAUUUUCAAUGUCUUCAUGAAAGACAAGCUCUGUCAUU